RNAcentral lists this ribosomal RNA (231 nucleotides) under uncultured bacterium. RNAcentral's name for it is "partial 16S ribosomal RNA". It matches the Rfam family "Bacterial small subunit ribosomal RNA", at positions 103 to 334 of the family's 1533-position model. The record is from RNAcentral.
CGGGUGAGUAACGCGUACGCAAUCUACCCUACACAGGAGGAUAGCCCCGGGAAACUGGGAUUAAUACUCCAUGGAAUUCAAUAUAGGCAUCUUAUUUGAAUUAAAACUCCGGUGGUGUAGGAUGAGCGUGCGUUCUAUUAGUUAGUUGGUGAGGUAACGGCUCACCAAGACCGCGAUAGAUAGCUGGCGUGAGAGCGCGACCAGCCACACUGGCACUGAGACACGGGCCAG